Molecule: RNA transcript, 2276 nt
Organism: Xyrauchen texanus (razorback sucker)
Lineage: Eukaryota; Metazoa; Chordata; Actinopteri; Cypriniformes; Catostomidae
Gene name: 3-oxo-5-alpha-steroid 4-dehydrogenase 2-like
Exons: 5
Source: RefSeq, a predicted model, not a curated record
CACUCAGUACAACACAGAAUGGCACAGGGAUGCACGCUUUGUAAUAGGGAUGUUGAUGUUUUUCUCAGGAAUGGCCAUCAACAUCCACAGUGACAAUGUUUUACGAAACCUGAGGAAACCAGGAGAGAUCAACUAUAAAAUCCCAAGAGGUCAGUUUUUACUUUUAAAGGGCUCACACUGUAAACAUGGAUUUAAUAUUCAAUUAAACAAUUGAAUUACAGUGUACUUAAAUUAUUUAAGUUUGAUUGCAUUACUAUAAAAUGUAAGUAUAUUCUAUUAAUUUGUCGACCAAUUUGAAUGUGUGAAUAACUAAGUUAAAUGGCUUAAAACGAUUAAGUUUUUGUCCUGACCAAACCCCCACACUUGAAAGUCACAUAUGUCAUGCCUAAUAAUAAUGACGUUGUAUCUCAUAGUUAUGAUUUUUAGAUCUCAUAAGAUACUAUCUCAUAAUUAUGACUUAUUGUGUCAUAAUGACUUAGUAUUUCAUAAUAAUGAGAACAUUUCCCAUAAUUAAGACAUCCAUUCUCAUAAUAAUGACUUGUAAUUAUGUCCAGUCAUUAUAAGAUCAUAGAAAGUAAUAAUUAUUAGAAAAUUAUGUCAUUAUUAUGAGAUAUGUUCUCAUUAUUAUGACACACUAUGGGAAUUAUUUUUUUUAAUGUCUAUGGAAAAAUUAAUUUCUGAGAAAUCAAAUGUUUCUGUCUAAUAGCACAAUGUACUUCAGUAACCACGAGCGCUGCAUCCGUUACUAUGGAGACGACUCUGGCUAGAUCCGCAAACUGUUCGACGGGGCAUUUUUCACCUGUUAGCUAGCUACUUUUAUCUUUCGCCGUGCGGCGGACACCGGUGACUUUGACAGAGAUUUUUCGUCUGUUAGUGACAUUUGUCAUCUGUUAGCUUGUUACUUUCCUCCCUCGCGCGCUUAAACACCCGCUCGGCGACGCACGAGGUGCCGCACGGAGGAGAGAGGAGGGCGACCGGAAGAGUGCAGAUCCACGGUCUACUGAAUCUGGUGAGUGCAUUUAAGUUAACAUUAGCGACCACAUUGUAUUUUGACACUGCUAUUGAUUGAAAUAAAAACAGUAGCUACUGGAUGUAACUCCAGUUUUAUCUUGGUUCAUAGCUCUCUAACAGGCUUUUCCAUGAUAAACAAACUUGUUUUGUGUUGCAGGUCACAGGAAGAGAUGUAUUAUAACUGUGAAAAGAGAGCACAGCUAUUUAAACAUUUUAGGCUCAAACAUGGAAGUCAUGCAAGAAUGGAACAAUUUCCUUGUUCACAUCAGAAAUGUUAGUGCAUUUAGUGAUUUAAAUGUACAUAAAAAGUACACUUAUUACACCAGAUCAGCAACCAAAUGAAUCUGGUACCAGUUUAGUUUUGCUUUCUGUCAUGUGGGUUUGCCGAGUCAUGUUCUGAGGCUGAUUACUUUAUUCACCUGCAUACUGCACAUUUAAAGUUAACCAUAAAGUCAGGUGCCUUAUAAAUACUGUAACUUUGAAAGCAGUGUCUAGUCUAGCCUUUGCAUGUGUAUCAAGGUGCAGCAUAUAUAUAUAUAUACACACACACAUCUGGGAGUGGUUAACAUUGUGUGACCCAAAUUAUGUAGUGUUGGGAGUCAUAGAUGGGGUAAUUUGACCAUGGGCUUAUACAUGAUUUGCUAUGUUUUAUGCUUCAGGUUUAUUACGAGUUCAACAGAGUGGUGGGAAAAAUCUCUUCUUUGAUGCACUUGACCGUUUCUCUCCAAGCCUGAUGGACCUCUUCAGGAAGAAGAAAGGCCUCACAAGCUUUGUCUGAGCUUUUACGUCAGACAAAGACCACUGAGCCAACAGACAUUAGGUGCCUUUGUCUUCAGGGAUUGCCGGUCAUUUUGGGGGAUGAUCCUUCUGCCUUCUUCAAGACCUCCUCCAUAAGAUGUAACUGACAAGGACUUGUACAGUCAGACUCCAGUGGCAAUCCUCUACGUUGAUCAAGAAAGUCCUCAGCUAAACCCAUCCAGAGUGGGGAUCAUCUUGGAAGGGAGUUUGGUGAUGGGUGAACUGGCCAACCUGCCUCUGGCCUUCUGUGUCCUUUUUGGACUGAUUUAUGCCCUGCACCUGGACUAACCCAAGUGCUUGAAAAACACUUUCUGCUUUAUUCUGCAGGGGGAAUGUUUGAGUGGGUCUCUGGUGCUAACUACUUUGGGGAGAUUGUUGAAUGGUGUGGAUACGCUGUGGCCACCUGGACCUUUCCUGCGUUCUCCUUUGCGGUCUUUACCAUCUGCUCCAUUGGGCCACGAGCCUAC